AGGACUCAAGAAUUGGCUCAGGAUAACCUUUGCAUGUGAACAGGGGUGGGAUGCUUUGUCGUAUAUACAUCUGACAAUAAGGCAUGGUGCAGGUGUUGCUGUAGGACUCAAGAAUUGGCUCAGGAUAACCUCUGCAUGUGAACCAUCAUCUCUGGAAGAUGGCCUCAAGAGAUUAAAUGCUUUCUAUCAAAGGCAUGCCAAAAAACAAUAAGUUGCUCUUAGAGGGCAUCUUGAUAUCUCCGUGUUAAGGGAGUCUUAGAUUCAAUUUAAGAUAAUGAGAUCUUCAACUAGUCGUUGGAUCUUGUAUGAUGUAUGGUAGCUCAUAAAUAAGUUAGAUUUUCAACAAUUUCCUUGAAUCAUCAGAGGAAUGUAAUAUGUUAUUUGGAAUGGUAUCUGGUUGUAAGUACUAUAGACAAUAUCAUUCUGAGGAGGAUCUCCCAACUCCAGCUCCAGAUUAUGCACCUUACUGUUAAUUGAAAUAUUAAUGUACUCGCAUUGCCAACUCCUGCUAUUCGUG
RNAcentral lists this long non-coding RNA (517 nucleotides) under Nicotiana benthamiana. RNAcentral describes it as "long non-coding RNA (NBEN_LNC015017)". Lineage: Eukaryota; Viridiplantae; Streptophyta; Magnoliopsida; Solanales; Solanaceae. The record is from RNAcentral.